This 655-nucleotide ribosomal RNA is filed under the name Lactiplantibacillus plantarum. RNAcentral describes it as "bacterial SSU rRNA". It matches the Rfam family "Bacterial small subunit ribosomal RNA", at positions 371 to 1017 of the family's 1533-position model. The record is from RNAcentral. Lineage: Bacteria; Bacillati; Bacillota; Bacilli; Lactobacillales; Lactobacillaceae.
AUGGACGAAAGUCUGAUGGAGCAACGCCGCGUGAGUGAAGAAGGGUUUCGGCUCGUAAAACUCUGUUGUUAAAGAAGAACAUAUCUGAGAGUAACUGUUCAGGUAUUGACGGUAUUUAACCAGAAAGCCACGGCUAACUACGUGCCAGCAGCCGCGGUAAUACGUAGGUGGCAAGCGUUGUCCGGAUUUAUUGGGCGUAAAGCGAGCGCAGGCGGUUUUUUAAGUCUGAUGUGAAAGCCUUCGGCUUAACCGAAGAAGUGCAUCGGAAACUGGGAAACUUGAGUGCAGAAGAGGACAGUGGAACUCCAUGUGUAGCGGUGAAAUGCGUAGAUAUAUGGAAGAACACCAGUGGCGAAGGCGGCUGUCUGGUCUGUAACUGACGCUGAGGCUCGAAAGUAUGGGUAGCAAACAGGAUUAGAUACCCUGGUAGUCCAUACCGUAAACGAUGAAUGCUAAGUGUUGGAGGGUUUCCGCCCUUCAGUGCUGCAGCUAACGCAUGAAGCAUCCCGCCUGGGGAGUACGGCCGCAAGGCUGAAACUCAAAGGAAUUGACGGGGGCCCGCACAAGCGGUGGAGCAUGUGGUUUAAUUCGAAGCUACGCGAAGAACCUUACCAGGUCUUGACAUACUAUGCGAAUCUAAGAGAUUAGACGUUCC